GGGCUUGGGGAUGAUACGGCUGUGGUGCAUGCUAGCCCUCUGAUUGUCAGGAUUGACGUGAAUGGUCUGGCUGGUGUGUCCUCUUCCUCAUUCCUCACACCAUGAGUAACUCUCCUGGAGAUCUGAGAGGAUGGUUUUCCUAAGUAAAGAAGGAUUAUUCUUCUAUAAAAGGCAGGCUAUCAUAGUAUUUGCCUGUUAGGAACUUUGUAUCAAUUGAACCAUUACUGGCAAAUUUAAGCAGAAAAUAAUGAUUAUUAUGAAGGUACUGGGAAUAUUUUUAGAGGAAAAAUAAAAUAAUAUU
Molecule: non-coding RNA, 301 nt
Organism: Mustela putorius furo (domestic ferret)
Lineage: Eukaryota; Metazoa; Chordata; Mammalia; Carnivora; Mustelidae
Source: Rfam